UAAGUUGGUCGCCUUAUCGCUAUAUUUUAUAUAGAGGAAAGUCCGAACACCAAAGUACAUCAUAGUGGUUAACAGCCACCGAUUGUAAGAUCAGGAAUAGUGCAACAGAAAGUAUGUACAGGUAAUGCUGUAGUGAAAUCAGGUAAACUCUAUGAGGUGCAAUGCCAUGUAUACCAGCUAUAAGAGUUGUACGCUCAAUGUUGGAGGGUAGGCAGCUAGAAUAAAUUGGCAACAAUUUAUCAAGAUAAAUGAUAAGGGCUUGAAAAAGUACAGAAUUCGGCUUAUAGACCUACUUAUUUA
RNAcentral lists this RNase P RNA (300 nucleotides) under Flavobacteriaceae bacterium. Its description in RNAcentral is "RNase P RNA component class A". It matches the Rfam family "Bacterial RNase P class A". From Rfam's summary of the family: Ribonuclease P (RNase P) is a ubiquitous endoribonuclease, found in archaea, bacteria and eukarya as well as chloroplasts and mitochondria. RNAcentral also lists the same sequence under 1 other name. Lineage: Bacteria; Pseudomonadati; Bacteroidota; Flavobacteriia; Flavobacteriales; Flavobacteriaceae. The record is from RNAcentral.